This 31-nucleotide non-coding RNA is filed under the name Homo sapiens (human). The record is from RNAcentral. Lineage: Eukaryota; Metazoa; Chordata; Mammalia; Primates; Hominidae.
UCCCAAGAAGAAUGUUCCUCUAAAAGGAGGC